Molecule: non-coding RNA, 90 nt
Organism: Mycena epipterygia
Lineage: Eukaryota; Fungi; Basidiomycota; Agaricomycetes; Agaricales; Mycenaceae
Source: the annotation of a GenBank genome assembly
GCAUGGGUGGGGUAUUGGAAACCCACAGCCUGUCGAUAUGAAAUAUGCCGGAAUGACGCUGAGCUCGGGGUUCGAGUCCCCGCCGAUGCA